Molecule: microRNA precursor, 79 nt
Filed under: Manihot esculenta (cassava)
Lineage: Eukaryota; Viridiplantae; Streptophyta; Magnoliopsida; Malpighiales; Euphorbiaceae
Description: miR477a stem-loop (mes-MIR477a)
Gene: mes-MIR477a
Source: miRBase by way of RNAcentral
AUUACUCACUCUCCCUCAAGGGCUUCUGUGAGUUUCUGGUUGAAAUACCAUACGGAGGACUUUAGAGAGAGUGGAUAAU